RNAcentral lists this long non-coding RNA (1127 nucleotides) under Homo sapiens (human). RNAcentral's name for it is "uncharacterized LOC105370295, transcript variant 1 (LOC105370295)". The record is from RNAcentral. Lineage: Eukaryota; Metazoa; Chordata; Mammalia; Primates; Hominidae.
GCGUGACACAAAUUUGGCCCCGAGGGAGCUCCAUGUGCCUGAGUCCCAGGAGCCCUAGAUGCCAGCGACAGCUUGUCACCAGGCCUGCGACGCCAAUGGGCGGGAGUCGGCGGAGCUCAGGACACUGACGACGGGCCUGGGGGAAAGCGGUCCCCACACAGCCCGGGGCCAGAGGAGCGGGCUGCCAGGGUCAGACGGAGGAAGACCGCGGGAAACAGACUGGACGUGCAGGGAAAGGUGUCAUGAGGACUGGACAUGGGUCUAUCAGGACCAUCGGCAUGAUGUCAGCCAAGGAUCUCGUGGCCUGCCUCUGCCAAGGGGGGACCAGCACCUUGUCCUGAGCACUUCCAGCCUCCCAUUGCCUUCAACCUGGCUGCAUUCAGCUGCCAUGCCCCUACCUCCUGAUGUGGCCAGCACCCUCCAGGACUUCAUCUAGGUGCACCCAAAGGCCGAGGACGUUGCUGGCCAGCAGGAAAUUCCUGGUGCAUCCAGGAAGACUUCCAAGAGGUGGUGGAACAGGGGGCGCCACACCCAGACAGCUGUGUGUAACUGUGCAGCUUCGGGCUGCUGCAGGUGCUGGCCGGACUGUGUUCUGGGCACACUGGACUGUGUCACUGCAUGGAGGCUGUUGCCGGAGGAGGAAGUGCAGGCCCCAAGGCCUAUGUGCCUGGAAACCAGCUGGGGCUGCUGCAGGAGGAGGGCUGCAGGAUGCUCCAGCUCAGACCUGACUCAGGGUUUUAGAGGGCACAGGGCAUAAAGCUGUGGACAUAGACAGCCCUACUGCGCAGGAAGAGCAUAAACCAGCCAGAGGGCAUGCAUGGGGGCUGCUGUUGCAUUCUGGUCUCCUUUGAGGUAGGGAAAGAUGUGUUUCUUUCUAUUUUAUGGGUGAGCAAACUGAGGCAGAGUGGUGGAGUGAUUUCCCCCAGCAUCGAUGGCAGAUUUAGCUCCAGGGCUUAGAUUUUAGGAUCCUCCCUCUCAAAUACCAUGAUGUAUCAUGGGCUUUUUCUCCACAGAAAAUUAGAAACUCAGAAAUGGAAAGGAACAAUGAAACUUACCCAUUCUCCCACUGCUCACAUUUCCUUCUGGUCUUUUUGUGUGUGCAUAUAAAAUAUAUCUCAGAAAAUUGA